RNAcentral lists this ribosomal RNA (455 nucleotides) under uncultured bacterium. Its description in RNAcentral is "bacterial SSU rRNA". It matches the Rfam family "Bacterial small subunit ribosomal RNA", at positions 1 to 507 of the family's 1533-position model. The record is from RNAcentral.
AAGAGUUUGAUCCUGGCUCAGAACGAACGCUGGCGGCAGGCCUAACAUAUGCAAGUCGAGCGGGGGGGGUAACCCCUAGGCGGCGGACGGGUGAGUAACGCGUGGGAACGUGCCCUUUGCUUCGGAAUAGCCCCUGGAAACGGGGAGUAAUACCGGAUGUGCCCUACGGGGGAAAGAAUUUCGGCAAAGGAUCGGCCCGCGUUGGAUUAGGUAGUUGGUGGGGUAAUGGCCUACCAAGCCGACGAUCCAUAGCUGGUUUGAGAGGAUGAUCAGCCACACUGGGACUGAGACACGGCCCAGACUCCUACGGGAGGCAGCAGUGGGGAAUCUUAGACAAUGGGCGCAAGCCUGAUCUAGCCAUGCCGCGUGAGCGAUGAAGGCCUUAGGGUUGUAAAGCUCUUUCGUGGGGGAAGAUAAUGACGGUACCCCAAGAAGAAGCCCCGGCUAACUCCGUG